Molecule: long non-coding RNA, 2090 nt
Organism: Canis lupus familiaris (dog)
Lineage: Eukaryota; Metazoa; Chordata; Mammalia; Carnivora; Canidae
Exons: 4
Source: RefSeq, a predicted model, not a curated record
AGGCCCAGGCUGGAUCCAACUUCUCCCUCAUAGGAUCAUAGUUUCUGGGACCCCACCUUGAGGAGCCAGGAUGAAAUAUGAAUCAUUCGCUACCUCUGACCAGGCAACAAGCACGCUCACAGGAAAGCUCAUUGUGAGCCAGCAAGAGGCAUCUAAAUGUCACAGAUGAGGCUCGUGAUGGGGACUCGAAAGGUGGCCAGCAAGCCUUCCCUGGAGACCAAAGCCAUCCUCGCCGCAGUCCCUGCCUGCCCCACCGCGGGAGGCUGCCAGGGCUCCUGUUCACCCGAGACGCCUCGCCACCUGCUGGGACGCGCAGCACGGAGGGAGCAGACCACAGGCUCCGCUGCUAGAGUUGCCCCCGCUCACGGGGCACCGGGAGCCCAUGCGUCUCCCUGAGCUGAAACGUAUGGACUUCAGCAGGACCGAGGCCGGGCUUCCUCCCUGCGUUUUUGGGGGGCCUCGUGAAGCACACGCCUGGGAUUUCUCUCUGCUCCCUGGGUGCUCAUCCUGUGUGGGAGCAAGGUGAAGUCUUGGUGUUGAACGUGGUUCUAGAUCCGGGUUUGAAUCCGGAACGCAGGCGCGCCGGCCCACCUCGAGGCAGGCACCCUCCACAUCAUGAUGUCAGCCUGUGUCCUGCAAGCGGAGGGCCAGGAUGCGAAGUCUGCAGGGCCCCGACUACACGUCACAGCCCCCAGCGAGAAGGCCACAGUGAGAAUCCGGGGCGAGGCUUCCUUUUUCUGCCAUAUAUGUCAUUGCUGCUAUCUACUCGCUCAGAAGGUUCUGGAACCUGUGACUUGCUGAGAGUGGACACAAAGGUCCGACCUGACCAUGCUGUGAGCCCUCUGAAGGCUGUCUUAUAGAUCUCUCUAUCUCUGCCACCACACCAAGCACCCAAUUCAGCAGACGUCCCCAAAAUAUAUUGGAUAAAGAGCCUUUCAGGAAAGUGAGUUUUAUGUUAUGUCUAAAUCCACAUGUCAGAAAGUGGAGCCAAUCCCGGAAACCAAGACACGCCUUUGGAUAAUACGAGGAACUGGCUUUUGGUUUGUCAGGUUUUGUGCUUUGCAGCCGGAGGGUGGCAGUGCUAGAGGGCAUCGAGGCGCUGUGGGAGGUCAACCCAAAACAGCACCAACCCCCCGGACAAUUGUGAGUUUACCAAGAGACCAGAGACCGGCUGAGAGAGCAGAGUGGGGUCAGAGGGCACAAGAUGGAACAGGGUUCUGGAGGGCACAGUGGCCGUGGGCAGACUUGGAGUGGCCACCAGUGCACCUGCCGCUGUGGCUUCCAGGCCUAUGGCCACGUGUGUGGUCUGAAGAGGGGGACAGUGCCAGCCACUUCAGCCACCUUUCCUGUUAGCAGGUGUGGCAACCACGCCAUGACUCAAGCUACUUGACCUCAGAGUAACACACCAGAAUAAGUAUAAGGUCCCCCUUUCCUGCACUGGGUGCAAAAUUGAGGACUGUCUGGAGCCUUCUUGGGGGGCACUGGAGCCUGCCCAGAAAGCAUGCCAAUCCUGGGAAAUAGUUUUCAGAAACAGCAUAGUCCCUUCUCAGCUAGUAACAGAUCCUGUUACCAGGAAGCUGUCCUGUGAAUUCUCACUUCGGAAGAUCAGUGUGUAGAAAAGAAAGAGGCAAUAAGCCUCCCUUCACACAAGGACAGGGAGCAAAGCUGGCCAAGGCUGUCCUUCCUGUAGACGUUGUUGCCUGCGGAGGGAGCCUGGAAGGAGAUGGACACUUGGGUCUGCACCAGGCUCCGGCCCUGCCCAGCAGCAAGAAUUUAAGUGCUAACUUGCUGUGUCUCGGUCUUCCCAUUAAGACUAUUACAGCCCUCAUUUCACUGCUUUCAGAACUCCUGUGUGUUGGGGGACCAGAUGAUGGGGUCAGGUCUCCGGGCUGCACCCCUCGUGGCUGGGGCUGGAUCCUGCCGGGGUCAGCGCUGGGCCGAGUCCAGCUCUGAACAGCUGUAGAGAGUAAAUCCACCUUUUGGGGUCAGGGCACCUGAGGCUUCCCGGGUGGGAUGGAAAUCUGCUUAGCUCCAUAAACACCUCGUCCACCCCCCAGGAAACAGCAGAAAGCUUGGCGUGAAGAGCGCAG